UGGAGGAAAGCAGGGGAUCGCAAGACCUUGCGCUAUUGGAGCGGCCGAUGCCUGAUUAGCUAGUUGGUGAGGUAAAGGCUYACCAAGGCGACGAUCAGUAGCUGGUCUGAGAGGACGACCAGCCACACUGGGACUGAGACACGGCCCAGACUCCUACGGGAGGCAGCAGUGGGGAAUUUUGGACAAUGGGCGAAAGCCUGAUCCAGCCAUGCCGCGUGAGUGAAGAAGGCCUUCGGGUUGUAAAGCUCUUUCGGUCGGGAAGAAAUAGUUKCGGCUAAUAUYUGCWGWGRAUGACGGUACCGACAUAAGAAGCACCGGCUAACUACGUGCCAGCAGCCGCGGUAAUACGUAGGGUGCAAGCGUUAAUCGGAAUUACUGGGCGUAAAGSGUGCGCAGGCGGUUGUGUAAGUCAGAUGUGAAAUCCCCGGGCUUAACCUGGGAACUGCGUUUGAAACUACAAAGCUAGA
This 467-nucleotide ribosomal RNA is filed under the name uncultured ammonia-oxidizing bacterium. Its description in RNAcentral is "bacterial SSU rRNA". It matches the Rfam family "Bacterial small subunit ribosomal RNA", at positions 197 to 645 of the family's 1533-position model. The record is from RNAcentral.